RNAcentral lists this ribosomal RNA (497 nucleotides) under uncultured bacterium. RNAcentral describes it as "partial 16S ribosomal RNA". It matches the Rfam family "Bacterial small subunit ribosomal RNA", at positions 28 to 507 of the family's 1533-position model. The record is from RNAcentral.
GAUGAACGCUGGCGGCGUGCCUAAUAUAUGCAAGUCGAGCGAACGGACGAGAAGCUUGCUUCUCUGAUGUUAGCGGCGGACGGGUGAGUAACACGUGGAUAACCUACCUAUAAGACUGGGAUAACUUCGGGAAACCGGAGCUAAUACCGGAUAAUAUUUUGAACCGCAUGGUUCAAAAGUGAAAGACGGUCUUGCUGUCACUUAUAGAUGGAUCCGCGCUGCAUUAGCUAGUUGGUAAGGUAACGGCUUACCAAGGCAACGAUGCGUAGCCGACCUGAGAGGGUGAUCGGCCACACUGGAACUGAGACACGGUCCAGACUCCUACGGGAGGCAGCAGUAGGGAAUCUUCCGCAAUGGGCGAAAGCCUGACGGAGCAACGCCGCGUGAGUGAUGAAGGUCUUCGGAUCGUAAAACUCUGUUAUUAGGGAAGAACAUAUGUGUAAGUAACUGUGCACAUCUUGACGGUACCUAAUCAGAAAGCCACGGCUAACUACGUG